AUUGAACGCUGGCGGCAGGCUUAACACAUGCAAGUCGAGCAGGGUGAUGGUGCUUGCACUAUCACUUAGCGGCGGACGGGUGAGUAAUGCUUAGGAAUCUGCCUAUUAGUGGGGGACAACAUCUCGAAAGGGAUGUUAAUACCGCAUACGUCCUACGGGAGAAAGCAGGGGAUCACUUGUGACCUUGCGCUAAUAGAUGAGCCCAAGCCGGAUUAGCUAGUUGGUGGGGUAAAGGCCUACCAAGGCGACGAUCUGUAGCGGGUCUGAGAGGAUGAUCCGCCACACUGGGACGGAGACACGGCCCAGACUCCUACGGGAGGCAGCAGUGGGGAAUAUUGGACAAUGGGGGGAACCCUGAUCCAGCCAUGCCGCGUGUGUGAAGAAGGCCUUAUGGUUGUAAAGCACUUUAAGCGAGGAGGAGGCUCUUUUGGUUAAUACCCAAGAUGAGUGGACGUUACUCGCAGAAUAAGCACCGGCUAACUCUGUGCCAGCCGCCGCCGUAA
Molecule: ribosomal RNA, 503 nt
Filed under: uncultured bacterium
Lineage: Bacteria
Description: partial 16S ribosomal RNA
Rfam family: Bacterial small subunit ribosomal RNA
Source: RNAcentral